CAGCCGCCGCGGUAAAACGGAGGGUGCUAGCGUUGUUCGGAAUCACUGGGCGUAAAGGGCGCGUAGGCGGCCUGUUAAGUCGGAUGUGGAAGCCCGGGGCUCAACCCCGGAACUGCAUCCGAGACUGGCAGGCUUGAGACCGGGAGAGGAGGGUGGAAUAUCCAGUGUAGAGGUGAAAUUCGUAGAUAUUGGAUGGAACACCGGUGGCGAAAGCGGCUCUCUGGCCCGGAUCUGACGCUGAGGCGCGAAAGCGUGGGGAGCAAACAGGAUUAGAUACCCCCGUAGUCCCUGUCUCUUAUAU
RNAcentral lists this ribosomal RNA (301 nucleotides) under uncultured bacterium. Its description in RNAcentral is "partial 16S ribosomal RNA". It matches the Rfam family "Bacterial small subunit ribosomal RNA", at positions 509 to 809 of the family's 1533-position model. The record is from RNAcentral.